GAUGAACGCUGGCGGCGUGCCUAAUACAUGCAAGUCGAGCGAACGGACGAGAAGCUUGCUUCUCUGAUGUUAGCGGCGGACGGGUGAGUAAUACGUGGAUAACCUACCUAUAAGACUGGGAUAACUUCGGGAAACCGUAGCUAAUACCGGAUAAUAUUUUGAACCGCAUGGUUCAAAAGUGAAAGACGGUCUUGCUGUCACUUAUAGAUGGAUCCGCGCUGCAUUAGCUAGUUGGUAAGGUAACGGCUUACCAAGGCAACGAUGCAUAGCCGACCUGAGAGGGUGAUCGGCCACACUGGAACUGAGACACGGUCCAGACUCCUACGGGAGGCAGCAGUAGGGAAUCUUCCGCAAUGGGCGAAAGCCUGACGGAGCAACGCCGCGUGAGUGAUGAAGGUCUUCGGAUCGUAAAACUCUGUUAUUAGGGAAGAGCAUAUGUGUAAGUAACUGUGCACAUCUUGACGGUACCUAAUCAGAAAGCCACGGCUAACUACGUG
Molecule: ribosomal RNA, 497 nt
Filed under: uncultured bacterium
Lineage: Bacteria
Description: partial 16S ribosomal RNA
Rfam family: Bacterial small subunit ribosomal RNA
Source: RNAcentral